GCUUAAGCAGUUAAUCUGCGUAUGAACUCUCAGUCUUAGAGAUCACUCAAAGGAUAUUAAUCAUCCCUGAGCGUUUAAAAACAUACAUUUGUGCAAGGAAAAAAGUAGAGGUUGAGUGGCAGCGGGGUAGCUGCAGGCUCAGGUCGGCUCUUAACUGCAGGUCUUCCAAAGCUGGGCUGAAGCACCUUGGGGUGCUGUGGCUGGCCCCGGAGCUCAGUUGGAAGGCAAGACUGACAGCUGAUCUAUACGGAGGCAGGAUCCAUCCGUCACUGUCAGUGGCACGGUUUGACUGGAUGAAACCCUUCCACAAGCUGUGAGGUCUCCGAGUACGUCAUGGGAGGCACCAGACAAUGAGAAACAAUGCCUUUAGCCUGCAUCUACCUCGUCAUCUGCUCUGCAACAACUGGCAAAGCUGGGCCAUGGGGCAGCGGUGGGAGCUUUCUGAGCUGGCCUUGUUGCCUGCUUUGGGUGGCGUGGGCAGCUGUGGAAGAGCACCCUUAAUUUCAGAGUACUGUCGUGGAGAGCUCAGAGAAGCAAAGUGCCUGUGGGCACCUCUGGGACUGUCUGUUCUGCCAUCCAUCCUGUAUGCCGGCUGCUUCCCUUCCAUGGUUUUCCAAUUCCCACUGCCUGACAGUGAGUGGUUGUUGAGAAGCUGGCUUGGCUUUGGCUGUGCCCAUCACCCCUAUGCAGGGAGGACUGGAGGGCUUUUCAGUAGUCUCAUUCAGUGCAGAAGUUGUGUUGCAUGCAGAGCAGAUGGAGCCCCACUCCUUCCAUCUUACCAGGGCGUGGAGAUGCGCAACCAGUGAUGCCUUGUGACACUGGGUUCUCUCUCUGUGCAGUUGAAACACAGGCAUAUGGCGUGUGCCGUACAGCAAAGCUAGUGCACUGAGGUCCCUUUUGGGGGGAGAAGUCAUCGCUUGUAUAGAAACGUCAGCCUUCAGCAACCUUCUUGCUUCUCUUGGGCCUUCCCAUCCCUCCCACAUUGCUUAUGUUCGCCUCCUCGGAGCUUAGGUGAAAACCAAUUAAAUGUUUUGGGAUGGAGAGAGCUGUACAUCCUAGGAGUGCUGAGCCAUCCCUCCAUGGGCGCCAGGGAGGUGUCCAGAGACCUUAGGCUGAAAUUUGCUGUGCUGGGGAGAUCUCUGCCAUUGCUUUUAGUGGGUUCUGGACCACGAUCUGGGAUUCCAAGAUGCCUUUUUUUUUUUUUUCUUUGCUCUUCUCCUCUAAGCUUGCCUUUCUGUCUUCCCUUGUUUGUGUUUGCAUCCCAUAUUGUGUUGCUUUAUUUCACAUUGUGAGUAACGUGAGCAACAUCUUUACUUUGGCCAGGGCUGUAAUGAAAUUUCAUAUGGCAGUGUGCUGAUUUUUCCUUCUGAAAAUAAAUAAAGCUCAGAGACUUUUGCUG
Molecule: long non-coding RNA, 1399 nt
Filed under: Gallus gallus (chicken)
Lineage: Eukaryota; Metazoa; Chordata; Aves; Galliformes; Phasianidae
Description: lncRNA (ENSGALG00010013999.1)
Source: RNAcentral